GACGGAGAGGGCAAGUGUUUUUUGUUUUGACUGGGCGUAAAGAGUGCUAAGAUUGUAAAAAAAGUUUAAACUUAAAUAUUUAGCUGAAGUGGCUAAAAUUUUUUUAAAUACUUUUUUACUAGAGUUAUGGGGGAAAUUACAGAAUCUUAGGUGUAGAGGUAAAAUUCGAUGAUAUCUAAGGUACUAUCAGAAGCGAAGGCGGUAAUUUAUUUAUAACUGACAUUGAUGCACAAAAGCGUGGGUAUCGAAUAGG
This 253-nucleotide ribosomal RNA is filed under the name uncultured bacterium. Its description in RNAcentral is "partial 16S ribosomal RNA". It matches the Rfam family "Bacterial small subunit ribosomal RNA", at positions 524 to 776 of the family's 1533-position model. The record is from RNAcentral.